Molecule: long non-coding RNA, 196 nt
Organism: Amblyraja radiata (thorny skate)
Lineage: Eukaryota; Metazoa; Chordata; Chondrichthyes; Rajiformes; Rajidae
Exons: 2
Source: RefSeq, a predicted model, not a curated record
UGAUAGCUGGCCUUGACUUCUGGGAUGUUCUGCAAUCAGCAUUGAGGUACUUCUGUUAGUGAAGACAUUCCUGGGAGUGAGGAGGUUCAUCACCAAGCUUUCAACAAGUUGGCUUCUUUCUCCUGUGAUGUUGCAAGGACCGAAGUUUAGAAGAUACAGGAACCUCCCAAAAAGGAUGAACAAGAACAAAAACGAG